GCCUAGAAGUAUUAAAAACCCAUGGGCAAUGAGCAACCACUAGUGCCUAGAUUGUGGUCCUUAAAUGACAUUUCCCAUUUGAAGGAACCAGGUUUUCUUGGACGGCUGAGUCCAAGUCUGGGACAGUACCUGUACAAGAUGAGGCUGGAACAUCCUACUGAGCCAAAAGCUAUGAUGUGAUCCAAGACAGAGAAAAAAGAAUCAAUGGAGACAGGCAAAAUAGAAAUCAAUCCAGCCCCGUUCUUGUAGAUGGAAAGACAAGGAAAAAGUUAUUGCAAAACAGACUGACUUGCUGUGCUUGUCCUUGUGCACUGGGCAGCGCCGGCCCAUCUGACAGCGAUCACACCUUGCAUGAAUGUGACCUCGGUGGAAGGAAGGGCUGCGGGUGGCUGUGACAGUUCUUUCUCACAUCUCCUUUUUGCAAACACCUGAGGUGGCACCUCAGCAAUGCUGAGCAGAGUACGGAGCAGUUUGCAAUGUUCUUUUGCAUCCAAAAAAAAAAAAAAAAAAAAAAAA
This is a long non-coding RNA of Enhydra lutris kenyoni (northern sea otter), 516 nucleotides long. RefSeq lists it as uncharacterized. The record is from RefSeq and is a predicted model, not a curated record. Lineage: Eukaryota; Metazoa; Chordata; Mammalia; Carnivora; Mustelidae. The transcript has 2 exons.